This 497-nucleotide ribosomal RNA is filed under the name uncultured bacterium. RNAcentral describes it as "partial 16S ribosomal RNA". It matches the Rfam family "Bacterial small subunit ribosomal RNA", at positions 28 to 507 of the family's 1533-position model. The record is from RNAcentral.
GAUGAACGCUGGCGGCGUGCCUAAUACAUGCAAGUCGAGCGAACAGACGAGGAGCUUGCUCCUCUGACGUUAGCGGCGGACGGGUGAGUAACACGUGGAUAACCUACCUAUAAGACUGGGAUAACUUCGGGAAACCGGAGCUAAUACCGGAUAAUAUAUUGAACCGCAUGGUUCAAUAGUGAAAGACGGCUUUGCUGUCACUUAUAGAUGGAUCCGCGCCGCAUUAGCUUGUUGGUAAGGUAACGGCUUACCAAGGCAACGAUGCGUAGCCGACCUGAGAGGGUGAUCGGCCACACUGGAACUGAGACACGGUCCAGACUCCUACGGGAGGCAGCAGUAGGGAAUCUUCCGCAAAGGGCGAAAGCCUGACGGAGCAACGCCGCGUGAGUGAUGAAGGUCUUCGGAUCGUAAAACUCUGUUAUUAGGGAAGAACAAAUGUGUAAGUAACUAUGCACGUCUUGACGGUACCUAAUCAGAAAGCCACGGCUAACUACGUG